Molecule: ribosomal RNA, 381 nt
Filed under: marine sediment metagenome
Description: SSU rRNA
Rfam family: Bacterial small subunit ribosomal RNA
Source: RNAcentral
AGAGUUUGAUCCUGGCUCAGAACGAACGCUGGCGGCAGGCUUAACACAUGCAAGUCGAGCGCCCCGCAAGGGGAGCGGCAGACGGGUGAGUAACGCGUGGGAAUCUACCCAUCUCUACGGAAUAACGCAUGGAAACGUGUGCUAAUACCGUAUACGUCCUUCGGGAGAAAGAUUUAUCGGAGAUGGAUGAGCCCGCGUUGGAUUAGCUAGUUGGUGGGGUAAAGGCCUACCAAGGCGACGAUCCAUAGCUGGUCUGAGAGGAUGAUCAGCCACACUGGGACUGAGACACGGCCCAGACUCCUACGGGAGGCAGCAGUGGGGAAUAUUGGACAAUGGGCGCAAGCCUGAUCCAGCCAUGCCGCGUGAGUGAUGAAGGCCCUA